GGCUCUGUGACGCCACGGUAGCGCAUCUGACUCCAGAUCAGAAGGUUGUCAGUCCGAAUCGGGCCGGGGUCA
This is a non-coding RNA of Perkinsus marinus ATCC 50983, 72 nucleotides long. NCBI's taxonomy places the organism in Eukaryota, Perkinsozoa, Perkinsida, Perkinsidae. The record is from Rfam.